RNAcentral lists this ribosomal RNA (253 nucleotides) under uncultured bacterium. RNAcentral describes it as "partial 16S ribosomal RNA". It matches the Rfam family "Bacterial small subunit ribosomal RNA", at positions 524 to 776 of the family's 1533-position model. The record is from RNAcentral.
UACAGAGGUCUCAAGCGUUGUUCGGAUUCAUUGGGCGUAAAGGGUGUGUAGGUGGCGCCGUAAGUCGGGUGUGAAAUUUCGGAGCUUAACUCCGAAACUGCAUUCGAUACUGCGGUGCUUGAGGACUGGAGAGGAGACUGGAAUUCAUGGUGUAGCAGUGAAAUGCGUAGAGAUCAUGAGGAAGACCAGUGGCGAAGGCGGGUCUCUGGACAGUUCCUGACGCUGAUGCACGAAGGCCAGGGGAGCAAACGGG